UUAGAACGUCGUGAGACAGUUCGGUCCCUAUCUGCCGUGGGCGCUGGAGAACUGAGGGGGGCUGCUCCUAGUACGAGAGGACCGGAGUGGACGCAUCACUGGUGUUCGGGUUGUCAUGCCAAUGGCACUGCCCGGUAGCUAAAUGCGGAAGAGAUAAGUGCUGAAAGCAUCUAAGCACGAAACUUGCCCCGAGAUGAGUUCUCCCUGACUCCUUGAGAGUCCUGAAGGAACGUUGAAGACGACGACGUUGAUAGGCCGGGUGUGUAAGCGCAGCGAUGCGUUGAGCUAACCGGUACUAAUGAACCGUGAGGCUUAACCUUACAACGCCGAAGGUGUUU
This 338-nucleotide ribosomal RNA is filed under the name Escherichia coli. RNAcentral describes it as "partial 23S ribosomal RNA". It matches the Rfam family "Bacterial large subunit ribosomal RNA", at positions 2611 to 2925 of the family's 2925-position model. Lineage: Bacteria; Pseudomonadati; Pseudomonadota; Gammaproteobacteria; Enterobacterales; Enterobacteriaceae. The record is from RNAcentral.